AUUAUCUUGGCAGAUAAGUGCAUUAAAUUUAGAAUUUAAUUAUAAAAUUGAAAUUAAUUUUAGAUAAUA
RNAcentral lists this transfer RNA (69 nucleotides) under Trachelus iudaicus. RNAcentral's name for it is "tRNA-Leu". The record is from RNAcentral. Lineage: Eukaryota; Metazoa; Arthropoda; Insecta; Hymenoptera; Cephidae.